RNAcentral lists this long non-coding RNA (1391 nucleotides) under Salmo salar (Atlantic salmon). RNAcentral's name for it is "lncRNA (ENSSSAG00000113630.1)". Lineage: Eukaryota; Metazoa; Chordata; Actinopteri; Salmoniformes; Salmonidae. The record is from RNAcentral.
GUCGUCACUUCCAUUAUUGCCUGCACCUGUGCAAUCAUGUGACACGAGACACUUUUCAAAAAUGUUUUUCUAGACACAGGAGAGGUCGGGUUGAAACAUUACUGAUGUUUCACGUUAAAAAUGGCUCUAAAGAUUGAUGCUAAACAACGUUUGACAUGUUUGAACGAACGUAAAUAGAUUAUUUUUUAAACUUUUUAAACUUUUCGCCGUGACUUCCCACCCCCCCGCCAUACUUUUUAGUAGCCACCGAAGCGCUAACAACUUGGAGUUAUUUGGACAUCAAUUAUGAACUUUGUCAAAAGAAACCACAUUUGUAGUGGACCUGGGAUUCCUGGAAGUGCCAAUGGAUGAAGAUAAUCAAAGCAACGAUCCCGGGGAAUAGUUACAGAGGAGAGGAGGAGGGAUGAAUGAGCCAAUUGCAGAGAAGCAAAAGCUGUUUAAUACAGUAUCUUCAGCAGCAACACUCAUUGAGUGAACUCUGACAACCUCUCUUAUUUUUUUGAGUGGCUGUUGUUUUUAUUCAUGAAUUGGACUAUAGCACAAUACUCCUUUUAAAAUAGUGAAUGCUGUUUACUAGAAUUUGGUCAAUAUUAAAUAGUUAAUGCAUAAUCAUUGAAUAAGGUAUCAGGGGAUUUUUAUGUGCUAUAAGGUUAUUCUAAAUCAGUCUUGUUACUCACUACACAGACUGAGAUAUCUCAAUCAUUAGAGUUUGUUAAUUGUUCAUUUCCAGAGAACAUAUAAGUACCAUUAUUUAAUAUAUUGAAGAAUAUUAUGUUACCAGGAUAUGUGUGUUAAUGGGAGCAAUCACUGAACAACAAUGUACACAGAAUGCACUAUUUACUUCCUUACAUAAUUACUUCAUUCUUUAUGGACAUUUUAUUGCCUGCCUGGAAAGUCAAGAUGAAGCACAUUUCAUGUGUACAACUAAUUAUAAUAUGUAGCAAUGUAGCAGUGGUGUCCGUGUAUUUCAGUGUAAGUAACUAAAAGUAAACAUUACGUUUCCACAAUAUCAUAACAUACAGUACUUUAAGGUCCUCAGGGCCAAAUAUAGCUUCCUACAUUUGAUAAUUUUCUCAGGAGCAACUUGUAUGGAAAUGAUUAAAAAAAAACACACCUUCAUCCUUCUACAAACAACUUCAGGAGUUGCUAGAAAUGUAAAGGUAAUUAAAAAAGCCAGUAAAAAUGUUUUGUCAACUUGUAUAAUACUUUAUUUUAGGAGGCAUUAAAAAGAACGAGGACAGUCAAACAGUCAAAAUCAUCGGUUUGUUCGUCAUAUGUUUUCUGUCUGCCUCAAUGCAUUUCUACAACAAAUUUGUACCCUUAUGUCAAUGAUGUAUACUUAGUUGAGUGGUUGAUAUGACUGAUAUACAGUACAUACAUAUGUAUAUACA